AGAGUUUGAUCCUUGCUCAGGAUGAACGCUGGCGGCAUGCCUAACACAUGCAAGUUGAACGUUUUUAUUGUUUACAAUAAAAAAGUAACGGACGGGUGAGUAAUGUGUAAGAAUCAACACUUAGGUGGGGGACAACAAUUGGAAACGUUUGCUAAUACCCCAUAUUGCUAUUAAGUAAAAGACUUGUCGCCUAAGUAUGAGCUUGCAUCUGAUUAGCUAGUUGGUAGGGUAAUAGCUUACCAAGGCAACGAUCAGUAGCUGGUCUUAGAGGAUGAUCAGCCACACUGGGACUGAGACACGGAACAGACUCCUACGGGAGGCAGCAGUGAGGAAUUUUCCGCAAUGGGUGAAAGCCUGACGGAGCAAUGCCGCGUGGAGGAAGAAUGCCUUAGGGUUGUAAACUCCUUUUCUCAUUGAAGAAGUUCUGACGGUAUUUGAGGAAUAAGCAUCGGCUAACCCCGUGCCAGCAGCCGCGGUAAUACGGGGGAUGCAAGCGUUAUCCGGAAUUAUUGGGCGUAAAGAGUUUGUAGGUUGUUAAAUAUGUCUAAUGUUAAAUAUCAGAGCUUAACUUUGAAAUGGCAUUAGAAACUAUUAGACUUGAGUAUGAUAGAAGCAAAGGGAAUUCCCAGUGUAGCGGUGAAAUGCGUAGAUAUUGGGAGGAACACCAACGGCGAAGGCACUUUGCUAGGUUAAUACUGACACUGAGAAACGAAAGCUAAGGUAAUGAAAAGGAUUAGAGACCCUUGUAGUCUUAGCCGUAAACAAUGGAUACUAAGUGGUGCUUCUUUGUUUGUACUGCUGUAGUUAACACGUUAAGUAUCCCGCCUGGGGAGUACGCUUGCAAAAGUGAAACUCAAAGGAAUUGACGGGGGCCCGCACAAGCGGUGGAGCAUGUGGUUUAAUUCGUCGCAACACGAAGAACCUUACCAGGGCUUGACAUGCUAGGAAGUUCCUUGAAAGAGGGAUGUGCCUUUGGGAACCUAGACACAGGUGGUGCAUGGCUGUCGUCAGCUCGUGUCGUGAGAUGUUGGGUUAAGUCCCGCAACGAGCGCAACCCUCGUUUUUAGUUAAUAUAACUUCUAGAAAGACUGCUGGUUAUAAACCGGAGGAAGGUGAGGAUGAGGUCAAGUCAUCAUGCCCUAUAUGCCCUGGGCUACACACGUGCUACAAUGGUUAAGACAAUGAGUUGCUAAUCUGUGAAGACACGCUAAUCUCAUAAACUUAAUCUUAGUUCGGAUUGUAGGCUGCAACUCGCCUACAUGAAGGUGGAAUCGCUAGUAAUCGCCGGUCAGCUAUACGGCGGUGAAUCCGUUCCCGGGCCUUGUCCACACCGCCCGUCACACCAUGGAAGCUGGCCAUGCCUGAAGGUGUUAUCUUAACUUUUUAAGAGAGAAAUACUUAAGGCCGGGUUAGUGACUGGGGUGAAGUCGUAACAAGGUAGCCGUACUGGAAGGUGCGGCUGGAACAACU
RNAcentral lists this ribosomal RNA (1470 nucleotides) under Euglenaria anabaena. Its description in RNAcentral is "bacterial SSU rRNA". It matches the Rfam family "Bacterial small subunit ribosomal RNA". The record is from RNAcentral. Lineage: Eukaryota; Euglenozoa; Euglenophyceae; Euglenales; Euglenaceae.